CCGGCCGGUGACCGCCGCGCCCCGCGGAACGGAGGCACAAACGCGGCCGCCCGCGCAUCAGUGCGACGGCUCCGGUGGGGCGGCUGCCGAGAGGUCACAUUACAUCACCGCCGGGCGGCACCGCCUCGGCGCUCAGCGCAGCCCGCAGGCACAGACGGGCUCGCACCCAACCUUAGCGCAGCUCCUCACUCGAGCUGAAGGUCGCAUGCCAUGAGCUAAGCCCCUCAUAGGAAUUAGGCUUGGGCUGCUGAUACACCCUCCCUAAGAAUAUUCAGCCGCAGUGAAGCAAGAGACUCAUAUUCCCCAAUUUGCUUAGAGAUUCAAAGAUUCUGCAUAAAUCUGCCUUGCAGAUGAUUUGAGAAUGAAACUUGAUAAUCCAUUCAUGCUGCUUACAAAGAAAGAUGAGACGACAGAUCUCAGAGGCAGAAGUGGAUGAACUGAAACUAUUAGGCUACACUUGGACUUUUCACCACACGAGUCCCCCGUGUCUUCCUUUCCCAAUUGCCAUGCAGAGAUGUUCUUUCAGCUGAUCCAUUUUCCAUGUACCUUCAGCUUCCCAACCACAUGCCAGACACUCUGGUUCCAUCCAGGAUGGGUCUUGGCGUGGGAAUCCCACUUGAGCUGCUCCCACAGGUCCAGCCUGCUGCUCAGGAUACUCUGCCUCUAUUCCAAGGAAUACCUGUGCCACAGGAAGGUGGCAUGUUGGCUCAGCUGCAGGAGGAACCCCAAAGCCCAUCACUGUCAACAAGAGCUCCAACCAAGCACAGAGCUUUGCCAGCAUGAAAUCCCAUUUCCUGAGCAGCGCCAAGUAUUGUGUGAAAUUUUUAUUUUCUCUGAAAACUCUAUCACUCUCUUAAAUCCUCUGAUUUUUUUUCCCACUGUAAAGAACAAAGCUUGAGAUAAAAGCAUCUGACCAGCCACAGCAAAAAUACAGUGAAAGGCCAUGAAAAGGAGCUGUCAUCCUUUAUGCCCAAAUAUAUUCCAUUUUAAUGCGACUGAAAAAGAACAGCUUGGGGAAAAGACAGCAAUAAAUAAAGGCUUUUCUUCUUCUUCUAAUUCAGCAGUGUGUGAUCUGAAAGGUCACAUGACAUUGGAUUUUUAAAAGUUCAAAUUAAUUUCCAUCCAUGAAAUAAACAGUUAACUGAAAAAUGUCCAAAAGCUUUUUAAUACAAAAGCUUCAGGGAAGAGUGUCCGCUUGCCUCAACGUUACCAGUGUUUCUCUGGAGCAGCAUUUCACGGCUUUUGAUCACAAGGUGCCAUAGAAAGCACGAAUGUGAGAUGAACAGCUUCAGGGAACACCACGUUCCUCACAAACAUGAACACCUCCACAGUUGUGUCUUCAGGAGACACAGCUUUAUUGUACAGGCACCAGUGAGACGGGAAUUCAAAGAGUAUGGCCAUCGGAAGUAGUUUAAACUUCAAAAGUCUGGGGAAAAGUGUAGUCUAAUAAUGGAAGCAAAAACGUAUCAAGUGAAACUACUCUGGAACGUUUCUACAAGGAGAGGUCUAAUUUCACAUGCGCUCAUGUUUGCGUUACAAGAUCAAACCGGAGUGGGAAGUGCAACAUAAUUACUCCCAUCUCCUGGCAAAUGUAAAACUUUCCUUUUAGACAGAACACCUCACUGAUCAAAUGCCAAGUACUUCCCUCUUCCUGGGCUGCUACCGUCACUGGUGAGGACCACAACUGCCCCAAAACAAACACUGCAAUUUUCACAUUAAAGCUGCAUUUUUGCAAUACUCCCCUGAAUAAUUCUCAUUCACAGCCCGAAGUGCAGAGUCUGGGCAAAUGAGCUUGGAGAGGGCAGUGCUGGGAUUGCUGCAGCCUCUGUCCAGUGGCAAGGGGGAUGGCAGUCCCUGUCCAUCCUUCCAGCCCUUUCACACCACGUGCCAAAUGCCAGCAGCAAUGUGGAUCCGCAGCCAAUUAAAUCUCCAUAGCUGACCACAGUUUGCCAGCUCAGAAACAUUUCCGCUGCUGUGUCCUGCUCACCCCUGGACAUGCAGAUACCCAGCAACUGUUGCUGGAAAAUUCUCCAGCAUAUCCUCAAGGACUUGCUUUUCAUUUCUGCCUCCAGACCCUCCGGUGCUUUAAGUUUCUGACUGCUGGGCGGAGUCUCUAAGCAUUGUUAUAACCAAUAAUAAUUAUCUGAUGAUUUUAAAAACACUUUUGGACAUUUCCAGUGAGGCCCUAAAGCUGUUCAAUAGCUCUCUGCCAAAAAUAUGUCAUAGCCAAGUACUUGCCUAGCAGUCAUUUUACACAAAGAUGGCUAAACUGUUUUUGUUCAGACCUUCCAAAAAUACUUUUGAGAGGAGUUCAGACUUGAAAAAUGUCAUUCCCAAAUUGGAAGGCAGUGGAGAGAGCUUUAAAAAUGAAAAGAUCAAGUAAUUUUAGUUACAGUUGCUCCUAGAUGUUCUUCCCAUCAGUCAUGUGUCUGUAGCUGACACCCAACACAGCAUCCCCAACAUCAGCUGCUCUCCAGCGCAGCCCGUUCGUUCUCUGCUGGCUCAUCCCCUGUCCCUAGGCAGAGCUCCACACCUUCCCAUCCCUAACCAAGGAGAGAGUUCCCCUUCCUCGCCUUCCCAUCCUGUCCCUACAGAGCCUCUCUCCACCAUGGUAGCACCCCAGCCAUGGAUCUCUUGCCAGUCUGGUCCAUUACUCCCUCAUUUGUGUUGUUGUAGUCAUCUCUCUCUGUCCAUCCUAGGUUAAAGUUUUCCUCAGCAGCUUUUGCCAGCACAUUGGAAAAAUGCUCUUGCCUUAUUUGGCCAGGAGGAUCACACCUCCUCCUAACAGUCCUUGACAGUCAAAGAGCGUCCCACGGUCACAAAAACCAGAUCCCUGCUGUAAAUGCCAGCUGUGCCAGCACUUACUGGCCACAGGAUCCAUCCACUCCUCCUCCAGCUCUUUCACCAUCAAAGGAUUCACUUUCCAGCCCUGACUGCCACUCCUGUAGUCACUGCACCAGCAUAAAUUAGAUAAUGCAUUUUACAAUACAAUAUAGAUCAACUUUUCGUAAUGGAGUCUCCAGCAGUGUUCACAGUGUUGGUACCUAUGAAAGUUAAUAGUCUGACACCAGGCCAUCCACACAGUAUUUCCUACUUCACUGCAUGCCCACUUCCACUGCACAAAGGAUAUUAUGGAUAACGCCAUCUAGCUAAAGCUGGCCAGAAACAAAAUCCUUCAGUCGUCAAAAUGACUGCUUUUGUAUUCAAAGCAUUUACAGAUGGAAUCCUCAUGUUUUGCUCCUGGACUUGACCACAGGUAAAAGUAAAGAGCCAACUUUGAGCAAACCAAACUAGGCAACAUGCACUUUUCUCAUCCCAGAAAUACUUUUGAUAGAGAAAGAAGUUCAUGUAAUUCCAACUAGGAGAAAACAUAAAAGAAAUCUAGAAAAAAAUGUUUUCAAAUUAACAACCUGAAGAGAGGAGAUAAGAUCAGCUUGAAUUAGUCAUUGAGCUUUUCAAAAUUUCAGAAAGUUGCAACUUAAACCCCUUUAAUUAACUGCUUGUGGUAAAUAGUUUCUAUUUAUUUUGUAAGAAAACUAACUACAUUAAAAGUUUUUUCUUCUUGAAA
Long non-coding RNA from Corvus hawaiiensis (hawaiian crow), 3568 nucleotides. RefSeq lists it as uncharacterized. Lineage: Eukaryota; Metazoa; Chordata; Aves; Passeriformes; Corvidae. The transcript is spliced from 2 exons. The record is from RefSeq and is a predicted model, not a curated record.